GAUGAACGCUGGCGGCGUGCCUAAUACAUGCAAGCCGAGCGAACGGACGAGGAGCUUGCUUCUCUGAUGUUAGCGGCGGACGGGUGAGUAACACGUGGAUAACCUACCUAUAAGACUGGGAUAACUUCGGGAAACCGGAGCUAAUACCGGAUAAUAUUUUGAACCGCAUGGUUCAAAAGUGAAAGACGGUCUUGCUGUCACUUAUAGAUGGAUCCGCGCUGCAUUAGCUAGUUGGUAAGGUAACGGCUUACCAAGGCAACGAUGCAUAGCCGACCUGAGAGGGUGAUCGGCCACACUGGAACUGAGACACGGUCCAGACUCCUACGGGAGGCAGCAGUAGGGAAUCUUCCGCAAUGGGCGAAAGCCUGACGGAGCAACGCCGCGUGAGUGAUGAAGGUCUUCGGAUCGUAAAACUCUGUUAUUAGGGAAGAACAUAUGUGUAAGUAACUGUGCACAUCUUGACGGUACCUAAUCAGAAAGCCACGGCUAACUACGUGCCAGCAGCCGCGGUAAUACGUAGGUGGCAAGCGUUAUCCGGAAUUAUUGGGCGUAAAGCGCGCGUAGCGGUUUUUUAAGUCUGAUGUGAAAGCCCACGGCUCAACCGUGGAGGGUCAUUGGAAACUGGAAAACUUGAGUGCAGAAGAGGAAAGUGGAAUUCCACGUGUAGCGGUGAAAUGCUCAGAGAUAUGGAGGAACACCAGUGGCGAAGGCGACUUUCUGGUCUGUAACUGACGCUGAUGUGCGAAAGCGUGGGGAUCAAACAGGAUUAGAUACCCUGGUAGUCCACGCCGUAAACGAUGAGUGCUAAGUGUUAGGGGGUUUCCGCCCCUUAGUGCUGCAGCUAACGCAUUAAGCACUCCGCCUGGGGAGUACGACCGCAAGGUUGAAACUCAAAGGAAUUGACGGGGACCCGCACAAGCGGUGGAGCAUGUGGUUUAAUUCGAAGCAACGCGAAGAACCUUACCAAAUCUUGACAUCCUUUGACAACUCUAGAGAUAGAGCCUUCCCCUUCGGGGGACAAAGUGACAGGUGGUGCAUGGUUGUCGUCAGCUCGUGUCGUGAGAUGUUGGGUUAAGUCCCGCAACGAGCGCAACCCUUAAGCUUAGUUGCCAUCAUUAAGUUGGGCACUCUAAGUUGACCGCCGGUGACAAACCGGAGGAAGGUGGGGAUGACGUCAAAUCAUCAUGCCCCUUAUGAUUUGGGCUACACACGUGCUACAAUGGACAAUACAAAGGGCAGCGAAACCGCGAGGUCAAGCAAAUCCCAUAAAGUUGUUCUCAGUUCGGAUUGUAGUCUGCAACUCGACUACAUGAAGCUGGAAUCGCUAGUAAUCGUAGAUCAGCAUGCUACGGUGAAUACGUUCCCGGGUCU
RNAcentral lists this ribosomal RNA (1371 nucleotides) under uncultured bacterium. Its description in RNAcentral is "bacterial SSU rRNA". It matches the Rfam family "Bacterial small subunit ribosomal RNA", at positions 28 to 1381 of the family's 1533-position model. The record is from RNAcentral.